UGAAGCAUGUCUUCUCCGCUUGGAAGGGCCUAUUUCAGCACAACUUGUACCCAAAAUAUGGUUAAUAAGUGCACAGGGGUACCUUUUUUUUUUUAACUUUGCUUUCUGUACGUCUAUAUAAAUCUGAGGAGCAAAUUCAUUGCUGACCUCAGAGAGAACCGCUACUCCUUGUCAUUCCUCUUUCCUUGAUUUUUUGCCCCAAAUCCAAGAUGAGAGUUUUCUGCAUCUUGAUUGUCUUCUUUUUUAUGCUGGCUACGUGUCAAGGAGCCCCACUACAUAAACAUCAUGCUAUGAAAAAGUUCCAUGGAAAGAAAACCUGCAUCCCUCAAAAGAUAAGCAUCCCACUGGAAGACAAGAACAGCAGUUCGGUAUAUGACUUUAUUUGGUAGUGAUUCAGACGCAACUCUAAGAAGCAAGAUAAUGGUACAUCUGCCAUCAUCAAUGUGCUGUCCUUCUGGGUGUCUAUUCUGCUCACAUAGAGGAACCUGAUUAAAUCU
Molecule: long non-coding RNA, 497 nt
Organism: Crotalus tigris (Tiger rattlesnake)
Lineage: Eukaryota; Metazoa; Chordata; Lepidosauria; Squamata; Viperidae
Exons: 4
Source: RefSeq, a predicted model, not a curated record